CGAACCGACUAAUGUUGAAAAAUUAGCGGAUGACCUGUGGCUGGGGGUGAAAGGCCAAUCAAACCGGGAGAUAGCUGGUUCUCCCCGAAAGCUAUUUAGGUAGCGCCUCGUGAAUUCAUCUCCGGGGGUAGAGCACUGUUUCGGCUAGGGGGCCAUCCCGGCUUACCAACCCGAUGCAAACUGCGAAUACCGGAGAAUGUUAUCACGGGAGACACACGGCGGGUGCUAACGUCCGUCGUGAAGAGGGAAACAACCCAGACCGCCAGCUAAGGUCCCAAAGUCAUGGUUAAGUGGGAAACGAUGUGGGAAGGCCCAGACAGCCAGGAUGUUGGCUUAGAAGCAGCCAUCAUUUAAAGAAAGCGUAAUAGCUCACUGGUCGAGUCGGCCUGCGCGGAAGAUGUAACGGGGCUAAACCAU
This 417-nucleotide ribosomal RNA is filed under the name Salmonella enterica subsp. enterica serovar Senftenberg. RNAcentral describes it as "partial 23S ribosomal RNA". It matches the Rfam family "Bacterial large subunit ribosomal RNA", at positions 775 to 1190 of the family's 2925-position model. The record is from RNAcentral. Lineage: Bacteria; Pseudomonadati; Pseudomonadota; Gammaproteobacteria; Enterobacterales; Enterobacteriaceae. RNAcentral also lists the same sequence under 2 other names.